RNAcentral lists this ribosomal RNA (49 nucleotides) under Eutypa lata. RNAcentral's name for it is "partial 18S ribosomal RNA". It matches the Rfam family "Eukaryotic small subunit ribosomal RNA", at positions 1783 to 1831 of the family's 1831-position model. Lineage: Eukaryota; Fungi; Ascomycota; Sordariomycetes; Xylariales; Diatrypaceae. The record is from RNAcentral.
UAAUAGUCGUAACAAGGUCUCCGUUGGUGAACCAGCGGAGGGAUCAUUA